This 2904-nucleotide ribosomal RNA is filed under the name Enterobacter hormaechei. Its description in RNAcentral is "23S ribosomal RNA". It matches the Rfam family "Bacterial large subunit ribosomal RNA". The record is from RNAcentral. Lineage: Bacteria; Pseudomonadati; Pseudomonadota; Gammaproteobacteria; Enterobacterales; Enterobacteriaceae.
GGUUAAGCGACUAAGCGUACACGGUGGAUGCCCUGGCAGUCAGAGGCGAUGAAGGACGUGCUAAUCUGCGAAAAGCGCCGGCGAGGUGAUAUGAACCUUUGACCCGGCGAUGUCCGAAUGGGGAAACCCAGUGUGUUCCGACACACUAUCGUUAACUGAAUACAUAGGUUAACGAGGCGAACCGGGGGAACUGAAACAUCUAAGUACCCCGAGGAAAAGAAAUCAACCGAGAUUCCCCCAGUAGCGGCGAGCGAACGGGGAGCAGCCCGGAGUCUGAAUCAGCUUGUGUGUUAGUGGAACGGUCUGGAAAGUCCGACGGUACAGGGUGAUAGUCCCGUACACGAAAACACACAUGCUGUGAACUCGAAGAGUAGGGCGGGACACGUGGUAUCCUGUCUGAAUAUGGGGGGACCAUCCUCCAAGGCUAAAUACUCCUGACUGACCGAUAGUGAACCAGUACCGUGAGGGAAAGGCGAAAAGAACCCCGGCGAGGGGAGUGAAAAAGAACCUGAAACCGUGUACGUACAAGCAGUGGGAGCACCUUCGGGUGUGACUGCGUACCUUUUGUAUAAUGGGUCAGCGACUUAUAUUCUGUAGCAAGGUUAACCGUAUAGGGGAGCCGAAGGGAAACCGAGUCUUAACUGGGCGUUAAGUUGCAGGGUAUAGACCCGAAACCCGGUGAUCUAGCCAUGGGCAGGUUGAAGGUUGGGUAACACUAACUGGAGGACCGAACCGACUAAUGUUGAAAAAUUAGCGGAUGACCUGUGGCUGGGGGUGAAAGGCCAAUCAAACCGGGAGAUAGCUGGUUCUCCCCGAAAGCUAUUUAGGUAGCGCCUCGUGAACUCAUCUUCGGGGGUAGAGCACUGUUUCGGCUAGGGGGCCAUCCCGGCUUACCAACCCGAUGCAAACUACGAAUACCGAAGAAUGUUAUCACGGGAGACACACGGCGGGUGCUAACGUCCGUCGUGAAGAGGGAAACAACCCAGACCGCCAGCUAAGGUCCCAAAGUCAUGGUUAAGUGGGAAACGAUGUGGGAAGGCACAGACAGCCAGGAUGUUGGCUUAGAAGCAGCCAUCAUUUAAAGAAAGCGUAAUAGCUCACUGGUCGAGUCGGCCUGCGCGGAAGAUGUAACGGGGCUAAACCAUGCACCGAAGCUGCGGCAGCGACACUUAUGUGUUGUUGGGUAGGGGAGCGUUCUGUAAGCCGUUGAAGGUGUGCUGUGAGGCAUGCUGGAGGUAUCAGAAGUGCGAAUGCUGACAUAAGUAACGAUAAAGCGGGUGAAAAGCCCGCUCGCCGGAAGACCAAGGGUUCCUGUCCAACGUUAAUCGGGGCAGGGUGAGUCGACCCCUAAGGCGAGGCCGAAAGGCGUAGUCGAUGGGAAACAGGUUAAUAUUCCUGUACUUGGUGUUACUGCGAAGGGGGGACGGAGAAGGCUAUGUCAGCCGGGCGACGGUUGUCCCGGUUUAAGCAUGUAGGCGGAGGUUCCAGGUAAAUCCGGUACCUUUUAACGCUGAGGUGUGAUGACGAGGCACUACGGUGCUGAAGUGAUAAAUGCCCUGCUUCCAGGAAAAGCCUCUAAGCAUCAGGUAACACGAAAUCGUACCCCAAACCGACACAGGUGGUCAGGUAGAGAAUACCAAGGCGCUUGAGAGAACUCGGGUGAAGGAACUAGGCAAAAUGGUGCCGUAACUUCGGGAGAAGGCACGCUGAUAGGUAGGUGAAGCCCCUGCGGGCGGAGCUGAAAUCAGUCGAAGAUACCAGCUGGCUGCAACUGUUUAUUAAAAACACAGCACUGUGCAAACACGAAAGUGGACGUAUACGGUGUGACGCCUGCCCGGUGCCGGAAGGUUAAUUGAUGGGGUUAGCGGCAACGCGAAGCUCUUGAUCGAAGCCCCGGUAAACGGCGGCCGUAACUAUAACGGUCCUAAGGUAGCGAAAUUCCUUGUCGGGUAAGUUCCGACCUGCACGAAUGGCGUAAUGAUGGCCAGGCUGUCUCCACCCGAGACUCAGUGAAAUUGAACUCGCUGUGAAGAUGCAGUGUACCCGCGGCAAGACGGAAAGACCCCGUGAACCUUUACUAUAGCUUGACACUGAACACUGGUCCUUGAUGUGUAGGAUAGGUGGGAGGCUUUGAAGCGUGGACGCCAGUCUGCGUGGAGCCGCCCUUGAAAUACCACCCUUUAAUGGCUGGUGUUCUAACGUAGACCCGUGAUCCGGGUUGCGGACAGUGUCUGGUGGGUAGUUUGACUGGGGCGGUCUCCUCCCAAAGAGUAACGGAGGAGCACGAAGGUUGGCUAAUCCUGGUCGGACAUCAGGAGGUUAGUGCAAUGGCAUAAGCCAGCUUGACUGCGAGCGUGACGGCGCGAGCAGGUGCGAAAGCAGGUCAUAGUGAUCCGGUGGUUCUGAAUGGAAGGGCCAUCGCUCAACGGAUAAAAGGUACUCCGGGGAUAACAGGCUGAUACCGCCCAAGAGUUCAUAUCGACGGCGGUGUUUGGCACCUCGAUGUCGGCUCAUCACAUCCUGGGGCUGAAGUAGGUCCCAAGGGUAUGGCUGUUCGCCAUUUAAAGUGGUACGCGAGCUGGGUUUAGAACGUCGUGAGACAGUUCGGUCCCUAUCUGCCGUGGGCGCUGGAGAAUUGAGGGGGGCUGCUCCUAGUACGAGAGGACCGGAGUGGACGCAUCACUGGUGUUCGGGUUGUCAUGCCAAUGGCACUGCCCGGUAGCUAAAUGCGGAAGAGAUAAGUGCUGAAAGCAUCUAAGCACGAAACUUGCCCCGAGAUGAGUUCUCCCUGAGACUUUAAGUCUCCUGAAGGAACGUUGAAGACGACGACGUUGAUAGGUCGGGUGUGUAAGCGCAGCGAUGCGUUGAGCUAACCGAUACUAAUGAACCGUGAGGCUUAACCUU